RNAcentral lists this ribosomal RNA (1440 nucleotides) under uncultured organism. RNAcentral describes it as "16S ribosomal RNA". It matches the Rfam family "Bacterial small subunit ribosomal RNA". The record is from RNAcentral.
CAGGCUUAACACAUGCAAGUCGAGGGGCAGCAUGGUCUUAGCUUGCUAAGGCCGAUGGCGACCGGCGCACGGGUGAGUAACACGUAUCCAACCUGCCGUCUACUCUUGGACAGCCUUCUGAAAGGAAGAUUAAUACAAGAUGGCAUCAUGAGUCCGCAUGUUCACAUGAUUAAAGGUAUUCCGGUAGACGAUGGGGAUGCGUUCCAUUAGAUAGUAGGCGGGGUAACGGCCCACCUAGUCUUCGAUGGAUAGGGGUUCUGAGAGGAAGGUCCCCCACAUUGGAACUGAGACACGGUCCAAACUCCUACGGGAGGCAGCAGCGAGGAAUAUUGGUCAAUGGGCGAGAGCCUGAACCAGCCAAGUAGCGUGAAGGAUGACUGCCCUAUGGGUUGUAAACUUCUUUUAUAAAGGAAUAAAGUCGGGUAUGGAUACCCGUUUGCAUGUACUUUAUGAAUAAGGAUCGGCUAACUCCGUGCCAGCAGCCGCGGUAAUACGGAGGAUCCGAGCGUUAUCCGGAUUUAUUGGGUUUAAAGGGAGCGUAGAUGGAUGUUUAAGUCAGUUGUGAAAGUUUGCGGCUCAACCGUAAAAUUGCAGUUGAUACUGGAUAUCUUGAGUGCAGUUGAGGCAGGCGGAAUUCGUGGUGUAGCGGUGAAAUGCUUAGAUAUCACGAAGAACUCCGAUUGCGAAGGCAGCCUGCUAAGCUGCAACUGACAUUGAGGCUCGAAAGUGUGGGUAUCAAACAGGAUUAGAUACCCUGGUAGUCCACACGGUAAACGAUGAAUACUCGCUGUUUGCGAUAUACUGCAAGCGGCCAAGCGAAAGCGUUAAGUAUUCCACCUGGGGAGUACGCCGGCAACGGUGAAACUCAAAGGAAUUGACGGGGGCCCGCACAAGCGGAGGAACAUGUGGUUUAAUUCGAUGAUACGCGAGGAACCUUACCCGGGCUUAAAUUGCAGAUGAAUUACGGUGAAAGCCGUAAGCCGCAAGGCAUCUGUGAAGGUGCUGCACGGUUGUCGUCAGCUCGUGCCGUGAGGUGUCGGCUUAAGUGCCAUAACGAGCGCAACCCUUGUUGUCAGUUACUAACAGGUUCCGCUGAGGACUCUGACAAGACUGCCAUCGUAAGAUGUGAGGAAGGUGGGGAUGACGUCAAAUCAGCACGGCCCUUACGUCCGGGGCUACACACGUGUUACAAUGGGGGGUACAGAGGGCCGCUACCACGCGAGUGGAUGCCAAUCCCCAAAACCUCUCUCAGUUCGGACUGGAGUCUGCAACCCGACUCCACGAAGCUGGAUUCGCUAGUAAUCGCGCAUCAGCCACGGCGCGGUGAAUACGUUCCCGGGCCUUGUACACACCGCCCGUCAAGCCAUGGGAGCCGGGGGUACCUGAAGUGCGUAACCGCGAGGAGCGCCCUAGGGUAAAACUGGUGACUGGGGCUAAGUC